GGAUGCGAUCAUACCAGCACUAAUGCACCGGAUCCCAUCAGAACUCCGAAGUUAAGCGUGCUUGGGCGAGAGUAGUACUAGGAUGGGUGACCCCCUGGGAAGUCCUCGUGUUGUUAAGC
This 119-nucleotide ribosomal RNA is filed under the name Ipomoea nil (Japanese morning glory). Lineage: Eukaryota; Viridiplantae; Streptophyta; Magnoliopsida; Solanales; Convolvulaceae. The record is from RNAcentral.